This 460-nucleotide ribosomal RNA is filed under the name uncultured bacterium. RNAcentral's name for it is "partial 16S ribosomal RNA". It matches the Rfam family "Bacterial small subunit ribosomal RNA", at positions 338 to 795 of the family's 1533-position model. The record is from RNAcentral.
CCUACGGUGUGCUGCAGUGAGGAAUAUUGGUCAAUGGACGAGAGUCUGAACCAGCCAAGUAGCGUGAAGGAUGACUGCCCUAUGGGUUGUAAACUUCUUUUAUAAAGGAAUAAAACGAGGCACGUGUGCCUUUUUGCAUGUACUUUAUGAAUAAGGAUCGGCUAACUCCGGGCCAGCAACCGCGGUAAUACGGAGGAUCCGAGCGUUAUCCGGGUUGUUUGGGUUUAAAGGGAGAGUAGAUGGGUGGGUAAGUCAGUUGUGAAAGUUUGCGGCUCAACCGUAAAAUUGCAAUUGAGACUGGCAGUCUUGAGUACAGGUGAGGUAGGCGGAAUUCGUGGUGUCGCGGUGAAAUGCUUAGAUAUCACGAAGAACCCCGAUUGCGACGGCAGCUUACUAAACUGUGACUGACAUUGAUGCUCGAAAGUGUGGGUAUCAAACAGGAUUAGAUACCCCAGUAGUC